RNAcentral lists this transfer RNA (72 nucleotides) under Camelus bactrianus (Bactrian camel). It matches the Rfam family "tRNA". Rfam says of the family: Transfer RNA (tRNA) molecules are approximately 80 nucleotides in length. Their secondary structure includes four short double-helical elements and three loops (D, anti-codon, and T loops). RNAcentral also lists the same sequence under 2 other names. The record is from Rfam by way of RNAcentral. Lineage: Eukaryota; Metazoa; Chordata; Mammalia; Artiodactyla; Camelidae.
GUGGGUAUAGCUCAGUAGUAGAGUGCGUGCCUAGUGUACAUGUAGUCCUGGGUUCAAGCCCCAGAACCUCUG